UCGAACAAAAGGAAAAUGAAGAGGAACAAGGAAAUAGUGAUGGCGGCCAUAAUGCCAACGAUGGCCUUUACAUCAACGGCGACGACAACUUCGGCGAUGGUGACGGUGCCGACGACGACAAUGGCAACCACAAAGAAGACAACAUCAGGUUCGGAUUUUUAAUUGUUUUCGUUCAUUAAAUAAAAAAAAUUACAUUUUUUAAAUAAAAGAGUGAUGUUGAUGAUGAUGAUAAAUAGCAAGAUACGUAUUGUACAGGAAGAAAAAAAAGAUACCUUAAUAUUUCGUGUUUGUUGUUUGUUACUAAAAACUCCUUCUGAUUUAUUUCCUUUUUCCUUCUUUGUAAGUGUAUUUUUUUUAGUAGAGUUAAUCUCAGCUCCCCCUUUUUUGAAAUUGAUAAGGUGCUUUUAUAGAGUUUUUUUUUUUUUAUAUAUGUUUAGUUGUUUUCUGGUCUGUGUCAUUGUUUGAGUUUGAGCUUUCUAAAACCUUGUUUGAUGUUUUAAUUUCUUUGCUCACAACCUGCAUUUUCCUGCACCUCUGAUGCCUUCAUAGUUUUAGCUUAUUUGUUUCGAUCUGUUGAUUUGCUGAGCUUUUAUUUGUCUUUUAGUUUGUUUUUUUAAACUAAAAAAUUUGUCUCUUUGCUGUGCACAAAGUGUACCAAGACUGACUUAAAAAAAAAUGUUUUUAUGUUUCUCUAAUUAGUUAAAACAGGAACAUAUGUAUCAAUAAGCAUGGCUUGUGCAUCAAUGACAGUCAUCAUCAACAUAGCAGGGUUUGGCAGUGAACAAAGUCAACAUAGCAUGGCUUGAUCUGAUUUAAUUUUUAUUGUAAUUUAUUUUUGC
This 839-nucleotide long non-coding RNA is filed under the name Cicer arietinum (chickpea). RNAcentral describes it as "long non-coding RNA (CARI_LNC000676)". The record is from RNAcentral. Lineage: Eukaryota; Viridiplantae; Streptophyta; Magnoliopsida; Fabales; Fabaceae.